Long non-coding RNA from Rosa rugosa (rugosa rose), 1245 nucleotides. RefSeq lists it as uncharacterized. The record is from RefSeq and is a predicted model, not a curated record. NCBI's taxonomy places the organism in Eukaryota, Viridiplantae, Streptophyta, Magnoliopsida, Rosales, Rosaceae. The transcript is spliced from 4 exons.
ACGAGAGAGAGAGAGAGAUAGAGCUCGAUGCUCUGACCCGAGACGCAGCACGGCACGAGAGAGAAACCUGACCGGAGGGACGACGUCCAGCCACCCCACGACGGUAAACAGCUACCUUUUCCCUUCGUCUCUGCGUCGCUUACCUCCCUGCAUCCUCAGAUUGUCCAUGCAUCGACGGUGAACGGAGAAACAACGAUUGGAAGCUCCGAGACUCCUCCGGCGAUUUCCGGCGAUUCCGGCCACCAUCUGGGCUGUAAUUGACUGAAGCUAAUUUUCAGAAACUACUAGCUGGUCUGUUGGUCCCAGUUCGUCAUCAUCUUUGGACAACUGAGCUUGCUCGGAGUAGUUUUUGAAGGACUCCAGUCACCCGAGGAACGGAAGGUUCGCGACUCUCGGAAUACGUGAAAGAAAGCAUUGGAAUCCAGGUAGGGAUUCAGGACUCUCCUCGGUUAGUUGUUUUCUUAUAUAUUGUGUUAAAAUGAGGCAUGGUUGGUGGUAUGGUUUGGUUAUGUUAAAAUGCAAUGCAUACUAACCAAAUUGUGAGAAAUGUGAUGGCUUGAGAGCGAAAGGGGCAUUGACUUCCUUGGGUUCGAUUCCCUAAACCUCUAGAGGGUUAGCUAUGCCGGUCAUCCGAGUAUCCGCAAUCACGGACUCGAUACGUGUGUGUAGCUAGGUAGUGGACGCUCUCACUACGCUUACCUGGUUAUAACUUAAUUUGAGGUAAGGUCGUGUAGUGGGUCUAUGGGACCGGCCAUCAGUAUGGAUGCAGGUACUGUGCACUGGUGAUGAGACAAUAGCGGACGGAGCUGGGUGUGCAGAACAAGUUCGGUAAAUUACCAUGUGAACCUUAUUCUAAAUUCUAUUUCUCGAACUUUGUGUUCUGGAACUUGUUGUUAGCUAGUCUCGUGUCAUCAUUUAGUUGAAUUCUCUUCAAGUGAAAUUCAAACCUUGUGUGAACCUUUAUCCAAGUUCUGGACGAAUGAAAUAGAUUUCAGCAACUCAAGUUUUACACCUCAAAAAUAUUUGUAGCUUCCGCUGUGUUUGUACAAAAAGUUUUUCAAACAAAAUGCCUAGCGGUUCUCUAGAAUGUAAAUCGAGCGUUCGGUUUAUGUUUUAGAGACUCGCGGCACUGUAACGAGCUUAGGCUGGUGAGGUGCAGCUUGGGGCGUUACAAUAUGUCUCCUCAUAGUUGAUUCCAGGGCGUUUUGUGAGAAGCCUUGCGCCAUAAGGCUAGAUUAUCAUCUC